RNAcentral lists this ribosomal RNA (409 nucleotides) under uncultured bacterium. RNAcentral's name for it is "bacterial SSU rRNA". It matches the Rfam family "Bacterial small subunit ribosomal RNA", at positions 541 to 952 of the family's 1533-position model. The record is from RNAcentral.
UUAUCCGGAUUCAUUGGGUUUAAAGGGAGCGUAGGCGGACGUUUAAGUCAGUUGUGAAAGUUUGCGGCUCAACCGUAAAAUUGCAGUUGAUACUGGGUGUCUUGAGUACAGUAGAGGCAGGCGGAAUUCGUGGUGUAGCGGUGAAAUGCUUAGAUAUCACGAAGAACUCCGAUUGCGAAGGCAGCUUGCUGGACUGUAACUGACGCUGAUGCUCGAAAGUGUGGGUAUCAAACAGGACUAGAUACCCUGGUAGUCCACACAGUAAACGAUGAAUACUCGCUGUUUGCGAUAUACAGUAAGCGGCCAAGCGAAAGCGUUAAGUAUUCCACCUGGGGAGUACGUCGGCAACGGUGAAACUCAAAGGAAUUGACGGGGGCCCGCACAAGCGGAGGAACAUGUGGUUUAAUUC